Molecule: ribosomal RNA, 434 nt
Filed under: uncultured bacterium
Lineage: Bacteria
Description: partial 16S ribosomal RNA
Rfam family: Bacterial small subunit ribosomal RNA
Source: RNAcentral
AGCGAACGCUGGCGGCAGGCCUAACACAUGCAAGUCGAACGAACCUUUCGGGGUUAGUGGCGGACGGGUGAGUAACACGUGGGAACGUGCCUUUAGGGUCGGAAUAACUCAGGGAAACUUGUGCUAAUACCGAAUGUGCCCUUCGGGGGAAAGAUUUAUCGCCUUUAGAGCGGCCCGCGUCUGAUUAGCUAGUUGGUUGAGGUAAUGGCUCACCAAGGCGACGAUCAGUAGCUGGUCUGGGAGGCUGAUACGCCACUUUGGCACUGUGACACGGCCCAAACUCCUACGGGAGGGAGGAGUGGGGAAUCGUGCGAAAUGGGCGAAAGCCUGACGGAGCCAUGCCGCGUGAAUGAUGAAGGUCUUAGGAUUGUAAAAUUCUUUCACCUGGGACGAUAAUGACGGUACCCGGAGAAGAAGCCCCGGCUAACUUCGUG